RNAcentral lists this small RNA (23 nucleotides) under Arabidopsis thaliana (thale cress). Its description in RNAcentral is "Ath_wt_08364". The record is from RNAcentral. Lineage: Eukaryota; Viridiplantae; Streptophyta; Magnoliopsida; Brassicales; Brassicaceae.
UCGCGGGUGCACCGCCGACCGAC